RNAcentral lists this ribosomal RNA (2042 nucleotides) under human gut metagenome. RNAcentral describes it as "bacterial LSU rRNA". It matches the Rfam family "Bacterial large subunit ribosomal RNA", at positions 208 to 2245 of the family's 2925-position model. The record is from RNAcentral.
ACCCGGAGGAAGAGAAAUCAAACGAGAUGCCCACAGUAGCGGCGAGCGAAGAGGGCAGAGCCCAAACCGAGAAGCUCCGGCUUUUCGGGGUUGAGGACCGGCAGAAUCGAAGUCAGGCCUAGUUGAAUUACCUGGAAAGGUAAGCGAGAGAGGGUAAAAGCCCCGUAGACGAAAGGCAGAGCAGAGAGGCCGAGAUCCAGAGUACCACGAAGCACGAGGAAUUUUGUGGGAAGCAGGGGGGACCACCCUCCAAGGCUAAAAACUACUUGGCGACCGAUAGCGCAUAGUACCGUGAGGGAAAGGUGAAAAGAACCCCGGGAGGGGAGUGAAAUAGUACCUGAAACCGUAUGUCUACAAGCAGUCGAAGCGAAAGCGACGGCGUGCCUAUUGAAGAAUGAACCAACGAGUUAUCUGCACUAGCGAGGUUAAGUGGAAGACACGGAGCCGCAGCGAAAGCGAGUCUUAAGAGGGCGCUAGUUAGUGUAGGUAGACCCGAAACCGCAGUGAUCUACCCAUGUCCAGGUUGAAGCGCAGGUAAAAUUGCGUGGAGGACCGAACCGGUGAGCGUUGAAAAGCUUUCGGAUGAGAUGUGGGUAGGGGUGAAAUUCCAAUCGAACGCGGAGAUAGCUGGUUCUCCCCGAAAUAGCUUUAGGGCUAGCCUGAGGUAGUAAGUAUAGGCGGUAGAGCACUGAUCGGGCUAGGGGCCGUAAAGGUUACCGAACCCUGUCAAACUCCGAAUGGAUAUACUGUAGAGCCUUGGAGUCAGACUACGAGUGAUAAGAUCCGUGGUCAAAAGGGAAACAGCCCAGACCACCAGCUAAGGUCCCCAAUGUCGUACUAAGUGGAAAAGGAUGUGGGGUUUCAUAAACAACCAGGAUGUUGGCUCAGAAGCAGCCACCAUUUAAAGAGUGCGUAAUAGCUCACUGGUCGAGAGACCCUGCGCCGAAGAUUCCCGGGGCUAAAGUACGAAACCGAAGCUGUGGCUGUAUACGUAAAGUAUACGGGGUAGGGGAGCGUUCCCAUAGGGUAGAAGUCGAACUGGAAGGUUCGGUGGACUUGUGGGAAGUGAGAAUGUUGGUAUGAGUAGCGAAAAGAAAGGUGAGAAUCCUUUCCACCGAAAGCAUAAGGAUUCCUGAGCAACGAUCGUCGUCUCAGGGUAAGUCGGGACCUAAUCCGAGGCAGAGAGCGUAGGAGAUGGACAACUGGUUGAUAUUCCAGUACCGGUAGUAAUUGUUUGAGCAAUGGAGUGACACAGAAGGGCAGGCAAGCAUGCGAAUGGAAGAGCAUGUGUAAGCGUGUAGGGUGGUGCAUAGGCAAAUCCGUGCACUGAAAGCCUGAGGCGUGAUGCGGAGUGAGCAGAGAUGCGAGCGAAGUUGUUGACCCCACACUGUCGAGAAAAGCUUCUAGUGAGAGAGCUACCGCCCGUACCGUAAACCGACACAGGUAUGCGGGGAGAGAAUCCUAAGGUGCGCGGGAGAACCCUCGUUAAGGAACUCGGCAAAAUGUACCCGUAACUUCGGGAUAAGGGUAGCCACUGUUGUGAAGUCCCAUGCGGAUGGAGCAUAGAGUGGUCGCAGAGAAGAGGCCCAAGCGACUGUUUACCAUAAACACAGGUGCCUGCUAAAGCGAAAGCUGACGUAUAGGUGCUGACACCUGCCCAGUGCCGGAAGGUUAAGGAAGGAUGUUCGGAGUAAUCCAAAGCAUUCGACUGAAGCCCCGGUGAACGGCGGCCGUAACUAUAACGGUCCUAAGGUAGCGAAAUUCCUUGUCGGGUAAGUUCCGACCCGCACGAAAGGUGUAACGAUUUGGGCACUGUCUCAACGAGGGACCCGGUGAAAUUGAAAUACCUGUGAAGAUGCAGGUUACCCGCGACUGGACAGAAAGACCCCAUGGAGCUUUACUGUAACCUGACAUUGGGUUUUGAUACAUUACGUACAGGAUAGGUGGGAGGCAUGGAAAGCUGGACGCUAGUCUGGCUGGAGCCGACGUUGGGAUACCACCCUUGAUGUAUUGAAAUUCUAACCGCGAGAGUAACGAAAUCC